Molecule: small RNA, 504 nt
Filed under: Pongo abelii (Sumatran orangutan)
Lineage: Eukaryota; Metazoa; Chordata; Mammalia; Primates; Hominidae
Description: retained intron
Source: RNAcentral
CUCGAUUAUUUCAGUGUAUUCCUAGGAAAGAUAAAGGAUGCAUUUGAUCGAAACCCGGAACUUCAGAACCUCCUACUGGACGACUUCUUUAAGUCAGCUGUUGAAAACUGCCAGGACUCCUGGCGGCGGGCAGUCAGCACUGGGGUCCAGGCUGGCAUUCCCAUGCCCUGUUUUACCACUGCCCUCUCCUUCUAUGACGGGUACAGACAUGAGAUGCUUCCAGCCAACCUCAUCCAGGUAAGCCUGUGGAGCAGGGGUUAACCUGGCUGGCCCCUGGGGGUCGUGCGCCAUGGACUGUCCUGACCAACCUACUCUCGUUUCCUAGGCUCAGCGGGAUUACUUCGGGGCUCACACCUAUGAACUCUUGGCCAAACCAGGGCAGUUUAUCCACACCAACUGGACAGGCCAUGGUGGCACUGUGUCAUCCUCGUCAUACAACGCCUGAUCAUGCUGCUCCUGUCACCCUCCACGAUUCCACAGACCAGGACAUUCCACAUGCCUCAU